CGGAGUGUAGCGCAGCCUGGUAGCGCACCUCGUUCGGGACGAGGGGGUCGUGUGUUCGAAUCACACCACUCCGACCA
Molecule: transfer RNA, 77 nt
Filed under: Methylobrevis albus
Lineage: Bacteria; Pseudomonadati; Pseudomonadota; Alphaproteobacteria; Hyphomicrobiales; Pleomorphomonadaceae
Also listed under: 1 other name
Description: Methylobrevis sp. L22 tRNA-Pro
Rfam family: tRNA
About the family: Transfer RNA (tRNA) molecules are approximately 80 nucleotides in length. Their secondary structure includes four short double-helical elements and three loops (D, anti-codon, and T loops).
Source: RNAcentral